GACGAACGCUGGCGGCGUGCUUAACACAUGCAAGUCGAACGGAAAGGCCCUGCUUUUGUGGGGUGCUCGAGUGGCGAACGGGUGAGUAACACGUGAGUAACCUGCCCUUGACUUUGGGAUAACUUCAGGAAACUGGGGCUAAUACCGGAUAGGAGCUCCUGCUGCAUGGUGGGGGUUGGAAAGUUUCGGCGGUUGGGGAUGGACUCGCGGGUUAUCAGCUUGUUGGUGGGGUAGUGGCUUACCAAGGCUUUUAGGGGUAGCCGGCCUGCGAGGGUGACCGGCCCCAUUGGGACUGGGGUACGGCCCGGACUCAUACGGGGGGCAGCGGUGGGAAAUAUUGCACAAUGGGCGGAAGCCUGAUGCAGGAAGGCCGCGUGGGGAAUGACGGCCUACGGGUUGUAAACCGUUUUCGCCUGUGACGACGCGUGGGUGACGGUAAUGGGUAAAGAAGCACCGGCUAACUACGUG
This 468-nucleotide ribosomal RNA is filed under the name uncultured bacterium. Its description in RNAcentral is "partial 16S ribosomal RNA". It matches the Rfam family "Bacterial small subunit ribosomal RNA", at positions 28 to 507 of the family's 1533-position model. The record is from RNAcentral.